RNAcentral lists this ribosomal RNA (406 nucleotides) under uncultured bacterium. RNAcentral's name for it is "bacterial SSU rRNA". It matches the Rfam family "Bacterial small subunit ribosomal RNA", at positions 355 to 775 of the family's 1533-position model. The record is from RNAcentral.
CGGGGAAUAUUGGGCAAUGGGCGCAAGCCUGACCCAGCAACGCCGCGUGAGGGAAGAAGGUCUUCGGAUUGUAAACCUCUGUCCUUGGGGACGAAAGAAAUGACGGUACCCAAGGAGGAAGCUCCGGCUAACUACGUGCCAGCAGCCGCGGUAAUACGUAGGGAGCGAGCGUUGACCGGAAUUACUGGGCGUAAAGGGUGCGUAGGUGGCGCUGCAAGUCAGAUGUGAAAUCCCCGGGCUUAACUCGGGGGGUGCAUUUGAAACUGCGGUGCUUGAGUGCAGGAGAGGAAAGCGGAAUUCCUAGUGUAGCGGUGAAAUGCGUAGAUAUUAGGAAGAACACCAGUGGCGAAGGCGGCUUUCUGGACUGUAACUGACGCUGAUGCACGAAAGCGUGGGGAGCAAACAG